GAAUUAAAAAUAACUUUCUUUUUAGAGAGUUUGAUUUAUUUCCUUACACUGUGCACACACUUCUUUUUCACACAUUUUAACACUAUAGUAUAAGAAUGUAACAGUCUCUUAAUUGAGCAUAAAUAAAAAUAAAACUUUCAGCAACGGAUCUCUUGGCUCU
RNAcentral lists this unclassified non-coding RNA (160 nucleotides) under rhizosphere metagenome. RNAcentral's name for it is "partial ribosomal RNA internal transcribed spacer region". The record is from RNAcentral.